GACGAACGCUGGCGGCGCGCCUAACACAUGCAAGUCGUACGGAGCUGAGAGAAGCUUGCUUUUCUUAGCUUAGUGGCGAACGGGUGAGUAACGCGUGAGUAACCUGCCCUGGAGUGGGGGACAACAGUUGGAAACGACUGCUAAUACCGCAUAAGCCCACGAUCCGGCAUCGGAUUGAGGGAAAAGGAUUUAUUCGCUUCAGGAUGGACUCGCGUCCAAUUAGCUAGUUGGUGAGGUAACGGCCCACCAAGGCGACGAUUGGUAGCCGGACUGAGAGGUUGAACGGCCACAUUGGGACUGAGACACGGCCCAGACUCCUACGGGAGGCAGCAGUGGGGGAUAUUGCACAAUGGGGGAAACCCUGAUGCAGCGACGCCGCGUGGAGGAAGAAGGUUUUCGGAUUGUAAACUCCUGUCGUGAGGGACGAUAAUGACGGUACCUAACAAGAAAGCACCGGCUAACUACGUG
This 468-nucleotide ribosomal RNA is filed under the name uncultured bacterium. RNAcentral's name for it is "partial 16S ribosomal RNA". It matches the Rfam family "Bacterial small subunit ribosomal RNA", at positions 28 to 507 of the family's 1533-position model. The record is from RNAcentral.